UACGUAGGUGGCGAGCGUUGUCCGGAUUUACUGGGCGUAAAGGGUGCGUAGGCGGCCCUGUAAGUCAGUGCUGAAAUAUCCCAGCUUAACUGGGAGGGUGGCAUUGAUACUGCGGGGCUAGAGUACAGAUGAGGUAGGCGGAAUUGACGGUGUAGCGGUGAAAUGCUUAGAUAUCGUCAAGAACACCUAUAGCGAAGGCAGCUUACUAGGCUGUAACUGACGCUGAGACACGAAAGCCAGGGGAGCAAACGGG
RNAcentral lists this ribosomal RNA (253 nucleotides) under uncultured bacterium. RNAcentral's name for it is "partial 16S ribosomal RNA". It matches the Rfam family "Bacterial small subunit ribosomal RNA", at positions 524 to 776 of the family's 1533-position model. The record is from RNAcentral.